UUAGAGUCUUUUGGGCUCUUCUCUUUAAAUGAAUUAUGGGCUAUUUUUUAUUGUCUUUAUUUAGGCUACUUUAUCUAGUCCCACGUUUUUAUUUGACUUGAGCCCUAGCUAAACAGAACUUGGAAACAUUCAUAGUUCGUGGGGUGCCAACGUCUCUUUCUGUUCUUUGGUGCUCCAUUUUUUCUGCUAGAUAGGAACGCCUCUUGCUUAUUUAUUUGGUUCCAGAGUUUGGGGAUAGAUGAGAUUAACCAUUGCCUUCUUUCUUGCACACUUUGCUUGAUCGUUGUGUUAACCUUGGGGAACGAUUGGCCUGCGGGACUAGCACAAUUGAG
This 332-nucleotide long non-coding RNA is filed under the name Salvia miltiorrhiza (redroot sage). RNAcentral's name for it is "long non-coding RNA (SMIL_LNC013722)". The record is from RNAcentral. Lineage: Eukaryota; Viridiplantae; Streptophyta; Magnoliopsida; Lamiales; Lamiaceae.